Oncorhynchus kisutch (coho salmon) is the source of this 2355-nucleotide long non-coding RNA. RefSeq lists it as uncharacterized. NCBI's taxonomy places the organism in Eukaryota, Metazoa, Chordata, Actinopteri, Salmoniformes, Salmonidae. The transcript has 2 exons. The record is from RefSeq and is a predicted model, not a curated record.
UCCUGUGACGGGCCAGGUGCUGACACGGUCACCAGGUUUAUGGUGUUUCCUCCGACGCAAAAUGUUUUUUUUUUUGUGGAUGGGUAUCAUUUGUAUGUAUAAAAUAGUCAUAGUUAAAAUUACUAAAUUGGAUAAUUUUUAUACAUUUUAUUUAAAUUUGCAUCAGGCCGCUUCUGGGGGUAUUCUGGUAAAAUGGCUGCAAAGUUCGCUGAAUUCCGGUAGAUGGAAACGGCCCGAUGUACUUGGGCCGAUUCUGGGCCAUUAUUCAUUUUGAUUCCAGGCCGAGUCCGACAUCCGAUUCCGGGUCGAUUCAAUCAGUUCCAUCCCCCGCUUCUGGGCCGAUUCCUCAUUGCUAGCUGGGAUGGGUUCCCUUUUUCUUCACAUGCAACAGCACGGGAGUAACGCUCUCGAAGACAAUAUUCAGGAGAGACAUGCUCAGCCUGAGUACUGGGAGAUGGGGACAAUGUUCUUAGGUUUGAAUUCAUUUUUGGUGAUCAUGUGAUUGACUACAGGCAGAGGGUAGAACAUGCAUUAAGACAUUGAGACUGCACUCACAGAGAGCAUGUGCAUGUAACUGUUGCUCAUGGUUGCUCAAUUCAGAACCACCAAAGACAGUACAGUAAGAAGCGAGACAUAAACUGCUUCUUCAAUAGAAAUCAUGAUAACGCUUGUAGGUGAUGUCAUGGCGACGUUGGCUAGCUAAACUCAUGCGCAGAAACGUCAUCAAGUCUAACGGUCGUCUCGCGCCGAACUGGGUAUAUGCAGGCUGUCAAAUCAAAGGCACUCCUUCGAUAUUACGUUUUAUUACGAAAAUCACUUUCACAAGGUUGGAGUAAUAACAUGUUCAACUGCUUAAGACAUUGGCUGGUUUCUAUGUUGUGCCUUUAGAUUCCGAGAAAAUUAAUGAAGAAUUUUUCACGUCUCUCAUUGACUAUGAAGGUAAAAUAGUGCCUUAAGUGUACACGGAUGUAAAGUAUGAUUUGCACAUGUAAAAUAUGAGUUGCACCUGUAUAAUCAGUGAUGUAGUUGCAAAAAAUAUUUGAAAACAUGUAACUUCUUUUGAGAAUAAAUGCAACAAAACUUGCAAGCACAACAUGAUGUGGGAAUUAACACAAUAUGAUUUGCAAGCAUGCAACUACAUUUGAGAAUGCAGCUCAUUUACUAAACUUGCGACUGGUGAAUGUUCUUCUGUUAAUCAAAACUACAUUUGCCAAUGUCGAAUCUGUGUGCUCCCAAGUUUUGUCAGUAAUGUAGCGACUAACCUCAGCCAAAAGUUUUGUAGUUGUACAAAAUAAUUAUGCAAGUAGCAGCAGAGAAAUACUCAAGCUCUGGUGGACAGGGCUUUUUUCUCCAGUGUUAUUCUGGAACGUGCUUUCACAUUUCACAGGGUUCCGGUCUGGAAGCGUGCUUUCCAAUGUGCUAAAUAUGGAUCAAAUUUGUCAAAAUUACUAGCCUCGUUUCUAUUGACAUUACAUGGCUGGUUAGCUAGCUAGCAUUAGAGCUUUCUGGCUAGCCUGUGUCUAGUGAUUCUUACAUUGUGUAACAGAGCAAUAGGUUUAGCUAUGCACUUGUCAUUUGGUUGAGACUCAUUAGUUUAGAAAAUAAUUGUUUGCUCUGUGUAUAUUUGGUGUGAAGUUGAUUGGCUUUGCUAGUUAGCAAGCUGCGAUCUCUGCUCAAGUUGACUACCGCUAGCUAGCUUGCUAAUACGUUUUAGAGGAGAACAGGCUGGCUACCUGUAGAAUCAAGACAAGACAGGAUGGGGAAGAAGAUUAUAUUUGCAGUUUCGUCAUCAGGCUGAUGCAGUGCCCAGAUGAGAUGAGAGAUAAAAAGGAUCUUGUUUGCAGACUUCUUCCUGAUUAACAUGAUCCUGCGGGUAGAGGGCUUCUUGGCAGCCAUCCCCUUCAGGACGCUGGUGGCCAUCUUGGAUUUGUGGUUUGGCAUCUCCAUGCCUCACACCUUCGUGAUCGCCUAGCCUAAUUCGUCUUCAAGAAGUCUGAGUUUCAUCUAUCAAUCACACUCUCUGUCAAUCACACUCUCUGUAUGAAUCUCUUUCAGGCAGAGGCUCCUAAGAGGAGGAAGGGGAGUACCAUCUUCCUCAGUGAAAUUCAUAAAAAUUAAAAUUGUAAAACAUUUCAAAAGUUAUCCUUUUUAGUUAAAACUAUACUAAAUAUAAUCAAGUCAAUAAUGUUGUCCACCCAAUCAAAGGAUCAGAAUGAAUAUAGUACUGAACGCAUAAGCUACAGGUAGCUACCACUGCAGUGUAUAAAAUGUGCUGUAGUUGACUCAAAGAGAGAAUUACAUUAGUGAAACAGUUUUGAAUAAAUUAAUUUCUUCCAAAAUGAAGGAGAAGCAAGA